UUCUCUGAAACCCAACCCCUUCCCCGUCUUCAGUAAACCUUAGAUGUUAAAAUCCCUCAACUCAUUGGUCAAGUUAUAAAUCUCAAAUCUGCUGGGAACAGAUUCAAUCGAAGUUUUUUUGUUUUCAUUCUAGGGUUUCUCUAACUAUAUCUAAAUAAAAUCUUAUGAAUGAUUACUGCUACAACUUUUGCUUUUCUAGGGUUUGAGAAUAUGGAGACCUUCUUUGGAGAUUUAGAUUGAUUGGAGUCUAGUCUUCAAUUCAACUGAAGAUGAAUAUUUUGAUUUAAAUUAAUUGAAAAUCCUCAGAGGGAUUAUAUUGACUUCUACCAGUGGAUAUCAAUUUAUGUGUAGAGCUUUUGGUGGUUUUAUCUUAGCUACAGAGGCUGUAAGGUAAUUGAAAGAAAAUCUGAGUUGGUUAGGAUAGGAGAUCAUGUUUGAACUAUUGGAUGAAGAAGCAUAGGACAUGGAUGAUGUUGUUGGAUGUUUUGAAUAAUAUGCAGAACUUGUUGGAGGACUAGAUGCAAAACACAAGGUUCUUGUCAACAUUCCAAUGGAGAAAUUUAAGAACCAUGUUCGUUGGGAACCCAUUGGAAUCGAUAAGAAGCUGGUCAUGAAGGAAAGGUUAUAACUGUUGAAUUCAUCCCUGAUGGCAGACAACUUGCUAGUGGUUCUGGUGAUAUGAUGGUGUGUUUAUGGAUAUUACUAUUCAAACCCCCAAAAUGCACUUGUAGAUCCUGACUCGGUGUCUCUGAAAUCCGAAGAAAAGGUACGGUGGGGGCAUGAGUACAGCUAAAGACGCUCUAGAGAGUGACACUGUAGUGUGUAGCUUUCUAGGUAUGUAUACUUUACUUCUUUCAUAGAGAUGAACUCAGCAACUUUCAGUGGUAUUCUGAUCAUUGGGUCCGGUUACAAGUGUUUGUAGUUACACCUACUGCAUACAUUACUGUUAUCCGUAUAUUACCUUGAGUUGAUGUAGUCUCCUUGGACAAGUUCCGCGACAAUGUCUUAUGAGAUAUGCUCAUAUUGUUGCUUUGAGUUCCCUUUGUAUGGAUAGGAUAUUUAUGAAAUUACAGGACUGUAUAUUUGGAUUCCCUGAGUUUUACAUAAAUCUAUGUGUACUAAUUUUAGUGUGGUAACAUGCAAGAGGAUUAAAGAAUCAUUUGAAGAGGCUCAAUGCGCUUGAGCAUUGGAUGCUUGUCAAGCUUGGUGGUUGUAAGAAUCAAUAGUCCCUUUCUUGUGUAUUGAUAUAUUCAAUUUUGGAUUUUGGUUUUAAUGGAAGAUUUUUAUCUUCGUAGGCUCCAUUCAGUGUGUCAAGAUACGAGUGAUACAAACACCACUAUUUGUAUCUGGCAUAAACAUAUUUCUGCAAGUUUUGUUUGGAACCAGGUUACCGGCAGCCAUUGGUGGUUCUUCUGCUGAUAUUGUACCUAUCCUUUGCAUUAUCAGAGACUCAUCUCUACAACGAAUCACUGAACCUCAUGAAGAAAGUUCUGCAGACAAACUUUGAUUAUCUCUCCACCUCUUUCCAUUUAUGUUUUUUAACUUUGACGAUUCAGCUAGUUUUAUGCACAUGUAUUCUCUACUUGCAGAGAUUUGUACACAGUAUGAUGGAAACUCAAGGAGUCCUGAUUGUAGCUGCAAGCUUGCAGAUCAUACUGGGAUUUAGUCUCGUUGUACACAUUUAAUUCGUAUCUAAAGAUUGUGUUGGCAUAUAAUAUAAUUGUAUCUUACUUAGUUCUUUGUGAUUAAAUCACAGGUUUUUGUUAGAAUUUACUAGCUAUUUUGGACAUGUAUUCUGUGAACUCAGUAUUUCAUCCUUUUUUUGUGUAA
Molecule: long non-coding RNA, 1830 nt
Organism: Papaver somniferum (opium poppy)
Lineage: Eukaryota; Viridiplantae; Streptophyta; Magnoliopsida; Ranunculales; Papaveraceae
Exons: 7
Source: RefSeq, a predicted model, not a curated record